CCUAUACCACCAUCCAUUCAAAUUCUUACUAGAACAAGGCAUGAUGGCCUCAACCCAGAUCAGGUAGUCCAUCUCCGUCGUAUUGUCACAUCCCGACCCUUAUAUUUUUACCUUAUUUACUAGCGUGAUUAUAAUAAGAAUUUUACCGUCCCGAUCUUUGAGUAAAUAGUUUAAUUGGUCUCUAGAGGGGUUUCGGGGACGAUUAUGUGCGGAGGAUAAUUCGUAUGGGGAAAAUACGACGACGGUAAAAAUAGUAAAUUUUAGCUAGUAAAAGGUAAUUUUUAUUCGGGUAUUAUUUUUCGGGGUGUUGAAUUUUGGAAUUUUGGGUUAAAAGGGGUGUUGGGUCGGCUGGGCCGAGCCCAACCCAUUUCUUCUUCUUUUCUCUUCUCCCUCUCUCCCGAUUUUCUUUCCUCCCACCCGGUUUUCUCCUCUCUACACCCAGAAGACUUCCAGCCGUCCUCCCGCCGCCGUCCGGCCACCAACCGCCGCCGCACCGGUCCCGUUCGGUCGACCUCCAACCCAGCAACCUCCCUGGACCGGUGAGAGAGCUCCGCCGUGAGUGAGCGGUGCCACCCGUAAGGUCCGACUGUCCAAACCUUCACUUCGCCGGAACUUCCUCCUCCGGCCACCAAUCCGGGCAAGCUUGGUACGGUUUUGUAGCCCUCCUCCCGUGCAACAACCCCUCCAAACAGCUCCCUCCCUCUUGAGCUAGGUAAGGAGAAAUUUGAGGUGGAAGUUUUAUGGUGUUUAAGUUGUUUUCGUUCGAUUAGCCUAGUUAGGCUUGGAAUUGGGUGAUGUGUUAGUCAUGAAAGUUGUAGAGGAGAUUGAGAGGAAGAUUCUGUUAAAAUUUGGUAGCAUUUGCAGGUCGCCGGAAAACGGCUGCCGACCGCCGCUGCCGGCUAGGAGAUUUUUAGGGUUUUAAAUGUGGAAUAUUAAGAGGAGUAUAUUGGUGUGAUUUAUGGAAUUU
RNAcentral lists this long non-coding RNA (967 nucleotides) under Fragaria vesca (wild strawberry). RNAcentral describes it as "long non-coding RNA (FVES_LNC004620)". The record is from RNAcentral. Lineage: Eukaryota; Viridiplantae; Streptophyta; Magnoliopsida; Rosales; Rosaceae.